AUUUUGGAGAGUUUGAUCCUGGCUCAGAACGAACGCUGGCGGCGUGCCUAACACAUGCAAGUCGAGCGAGAAAGUUCCGGCAACGGGAUGAGUAAAGCGGCAAACGGGUGAGUAACGCGUAGGUAAUCUAUCCUUCGGAUCGGGAUAACCUGCUGAAAGGUGGGCUAAUACCGGAUAAUGUCCUUGUGGGGAUCCCAUGAGAACCAAAGGGGGCGAGCGUAAGCAGCUUCCACCAGAGGAGGAGCCUGCGUCCGAUUAGCUAGUUGGUGGGGUAACGGCCUACCAAGGCGACGAUCGGUAGCCGGCCUGAGAGGGCGACCGGCCACACUGGAACUGAGACACGGUCCAGACUCCUACGGGAGGCAGCAGUGGGGAAUAUUGCGCAAUGGGCGAAAGCCUGACGCAGCGACGCCGCGUG
Molecule: ribosomal RNA, 418 nt
Filed under: Candidatus Methylomirabilota bacterium
Lineage: Bacteria; Methylomirabilota (SeqCode)
Description: bacterial SSU rRNA
Rfam family: Bacterial small subunit ribosomal RNA
Source: RNAcentral